This 1053-nucleotide long non-coding RNA is filed under the name Leguminivora glycinivorella. RNAcentral describes it as "uncharacterized LOC125226007". The record is from RNAcentral. Lineage: Eukaryota; Metazoa; Arthropoda; Insecta; Lepidoptera; Tortricidae.
UUGCAGACCUGAUGUUGGUUAUGAUCAGAGAAGCAUCUGAGCACCUUUACAGGUUGCCUCAAGUACCUACUCCAAAAUCCUGCCAGCUCUUGGAAGUCUUGGACCAUUAAUUGAUCAUUUCACGUAAAUUAAUAUUUUCUUCUUUAAAUACUUAUAAAUUAUAUGCCAGAGACUAAUUACUAAGAGGGGCCGUUUCUUAUCAAAUACAACUUAUUAUACUGUUCGCCCGUAUUAGGUUUACACCCUGUAUAUACCCGUCCUAGCGAAAUCACGAUAUGCAUUUUCGCCACUGACGGUAACGGAACUAAAUAAUAUUAAAUAUAAUUUUCCCUCGGUUUCUGAACACGGUUUUAGAGUUGGCAACCCCGGACCGCGACGCGACGCCAUCUUUUAUUUAUUCUAUCGUGGUGCGCGUCCUUCUGUGAGUUAGCUGACGGAAAUAUGGUUCAGGGUUGUUUUUGCCCAUGCCCCAUCAUCUGCCGCGAUCCUGGACAAGUUGGCGAUCAACAACAGGAUCCGGCCUGCGUGCAAUGGCCAGUGAAGUCUAUCCCAGUGCCUGUAUUAUUAUCAAGUCAUCACGCUGUCGUCGUCGGACUCGUCGGUUACAAAUGACGCGGCAGAUCUCUCUUAAGCUUAGAAAGAUGGUUGUGGCACAGUGCUCUGCUACUUCGUGCCACAGGCCAUUCUCCAACUGCAGAUCUACGUGUCAGCGCGACAGUGCACUCACUCACCUUGUUUGGCCCGGUGGAAUUUGGUAUGUCACUUGAGGCGAGGAGGACUUGAGAAGGUGCGUCUGCGAACGGCCUUAGUGACGCCUCUUCAGCGCGACGGGUGGUCUCCUCAAAUAUGAGAAGGAGCUCGGGUCCUGCGGGCUCUUAACCGUCGUAGUAUUCACGCAGUGUUUUAAAAUAGUGUUUGUGUGUAUUAUGAUAACAUUUAUGUUCAAUUCAAAUGUCUAACUCUACAUAAGUAUUCAUAUCAUUUUUCAUUAGUAUGGUGCUGUUUUUGCGGUCUGAAGAAAAAACUUUAAAUAAAAUAAUUAUGUUGUCUGUA